RNAcentral lists this unclassified non-coding RNA (879 nucleotides) under Leishmania donovani. Its description in RNAcentral is "gene:LdHU3.12.0760(CDS-product:hypothetical_prote in_conserved)". Lineage: Eukaryota; Euglenozoa; Kinetoplastea; Trypanosomatida; Trypanosomatidae. The record is from RNAcentral.
UGCUUCUUCUGGAGCUGCAAUAAAUUCCUAGAGGAAAGGCAGGUACAAGCAAGCUGGAGCACUACAUUGUGUGCCGACCUACGGCUUCCGCGACGGCGAAGAGGCCGACUGCUGUGCGGCAGCGCCGCCACAAACGAUGCACCGUACGGCAACUCGCUGUUUCUUUAGCAGCUUCACCAGGGGCUUCUCCAAGGGGUUUUGGAAAGAAUUUGGCGGUGCCCCUGGUGGGUUGGGCGGCAGCAGUGGAAGCGGUGGGGCCAGUCUUUUUGCCCGCAAGGGCGGAAGCUCUGGUAGUAACGGCGGCAACAUCUUUGGUGGGUUCGGUGGCGGCAGCGGUUUCCCGCCUGGCGGGCCUCUCGGCGGAUUCUUGGACAAGGCGCUCGAAUGGUGCAGCGAGUCGCACGCCCGCGACAUUGCACGCGAGAUGGGCGUGGAUCUGCGCGACAUUCGCUUUGAUAAAACUCCCGAGGGCGGAAUUAACGUCAUGGUGGAUGCUCCUAAGGCGACACCACUGCAGAUUGAGCAACUCGGCAAACGUGUGCAGGAGGAGUGUCCGGUGGCGCGCUUCCGCAAAACUCAAGUCAACUCACCGAAGCAUGAAAUGAAAUGGGUGCAGUUGCCCCCCCGGUACGAUCGAUGACAAAGAGGCGGCGCUGAUGAGCGAAAAAAACGCCUCUCGCGGCUGCCCGGCAGCAUCCUUCGUUCCGUCCAUCACAUUUGCUAUUUUUCCUACGUGACACCAACAGCCCGAGCACAGAGGCGAACGUGUUUUCAUGAGCAAAACUCGAACUUCUCUGGCGUUCUCUCUUUCGUGUGUUCUUUUUUUUUUGCUACAGCUGGAUUGUUUCAUGAAUAUUUGCACGUCUGCGCACCCAUAGC